AAAAAUGCGAUCCCAUUAAAAUGGGAAAAAGCAAGAUAAGGGGGAAUAUAGCGAUGAAAACCUAAAAAUCAUUAUUCAUUUUGCAUUGUAAGUUUUGGUGAAGAGGAAAACGCCGAGAUGCUAGGGUUUGGACUGAAGAAAAAAAUUCAGAGAGCUGCGUGAUGACUCCUUUUUGGCAUCUUUUUGGGACUUAAACUGGUCUGCUCCAUGCUUGGAAUUGAAAGGGGUUUUCCUUAAAACCUCGACAUUGCUCCAUUUUUUGAAAUAUGAAAGGACAAGGAGGAGAUUGGAAGAGAAAAGAUGUCGGGAAUGCAAACCUACAACUUCGAGAGCAGACUUAUGCCAGCCAUAUACCCCUAGGCAAUGGCUGGUUCCCUUCUUAUCUCCUCUAUGCAUUUGUUUUGUUUAAUUCAGCUUUUCUCCUUUGCAUAGGAAAAUAAGGAUCACUCUCACGGUCUUGUGUGAGAGAAAACUUAUUCUGUAGAUUACUUUUCUCUAAAUCCCUUCAACUGUAUAAAAUACAAAGAAUUUGAAAAAUAAUUGAAAGAUUUUUCUAAAA
Molecule: long non-coding RNA, 559 nt
Organism: Cryptomeria japonica (Japanese cedar)
Lineage: Eukaryota; Viridiplantae; Streptophyta; Pinopsida; Cupressales; Cupressaceae
Exons: 2
Source: RefSeq, a predicted model, not a curated record